CAUAUGUGAGAUCCAUCAAUCACAAUUCUUUCUUCUUUUACCUUUUCCUCUUAUGAUGAUCACAUUGCUGUUUGCUUUAUUCAUGAUAGUCAUGGAAUGGCUAUGCAAUUUAGUGUCAUUGAAAGACCUAUUCUUCCGAAAGAUUACACUGCAAUUACUUGAAAUUGUUAUCAACUCUAUCAACUAACUAAAGAUACUCCUUAAACAAGAACAGAUGGAGAAGGAAAGUUAGAGAAAUAUAAAUAUGAAGAAAAUCAAAUUCUAGAACCAAAAUAUAAAAUACAGACAGGACCUAUAACUGAAUAAAAAGCAGAAAGAGGACUUACUAAGCAUGAUAAUGAUACAGAUAAGGUUAAUUCAAUAUUUGAACAGACAAAUUUCCCAUUUAUGUAAACAGCAUCAUCGAUCAAUGUGUGGAAACUAACGGUCCCACCCAGAGGGCCUUCGCCUUUCUCUUGGUCUAUCUCUAGAACUGUCAAAAAAG
RNAcentral lists this long non-coding RNA (484 nucleotides) under Gossypium barbadense (sea-island cotton). RNAcentral's name for it is "long non-coding RNA (GBAR_LNC023298)". Lineage: Eukaryota; Viridiplantae; Streptophyta; Magnoliopsida; Malvales; Malvaceae. The record is from RNAcentral.